CUCGUUAUUACUUACGACCACGGAUGAUUUAAGAUUCAAUCAGAUGUAAUUUGUAUCUCACAAUCACAACUCCUUGUGAUUAACAAAUUACAAAUAUUUGAAUCUACGGACUCUAUUAUUUAUUUAAUUGUCUAUUAAUUAAAUAAUAGAUCUGCCAUUUAAUUGCAUUAAUUAUAUAUAAAAGUAUUUAUGUCCAAAGUCGAUUGGACCUAGGGCAUAAUACUUACAAACUCCCACUUGCACUAGAUCCAAUCACUUAUGUAUCAAAUAUCAUAAGUCUACAUGACGAUCAUGUUUAUACUACGACAACUCUUUGUCAGUGGAUCUGCAAUUUUAUUAAAUGUGGAAAUUUGCUCUUCUCUUUACGUCAUUUCCAUGUAUUAUCUCUCUGAUGAGAUUAUACCGUUUUAAUACAUGUUUGGAUCAUUGAUGAGACCUUAGUUCCUUUGCUUUCGCAAUGGCUCUAUUGUUAUCACAAUACUAUUGUAUGUGAUCAACAAUAUCAGGAACUACUCCAAGUUCAUUUAUGAACAUCAUGAUCCAUAUUGCAACUCUUUGCUACUUCUGAAGUAUCCAUGUAUUAGGUUUCUACUAUUGAAUCAACGGUUGCUUCACGUUUGGAACCUUUCCAACAUACCGCUUAAGAGUAAACCAGUUUCUCCAUAUGAAAUCUUCUCAAGAUUUCAUCUAUGUAAAUUGGGAUAAGUUAAGCAAUCUUCUAGAUCUACCUCUAUAGAUCAAGUUGCUUAUCCCAUAUCAUUUAUGAAUAAAUCUUUUAACAACCAUUAUUUCAACGAUUGAAAUAUAGGGAUGUCGUUUUAGGAAUACGAAAAAUGCUCCCACUAUCUUCUUGUAAACACACAAUUCAUUUUCAAAUUUGAUAAAAUCAAACACUUUGACUUUUCAUCAAAUCUAAGAUUUUAGCUCCAAGAGACUUCUCUUAACCUAUAGUCACGGUAUGCAACUGUUGCAAACAAAACCCGAAUGGACUUAAGCAAGGCUAUAGGAGAACUAUUUCACCAAGGUCAACAUUUAACCUUUGCUUCUAGCAUUGCUUUGUAUAUAUGGAUAUUCAUAUCCAUAUCGACCUUUUCUUUUGUAAACUAUUCACAAAAGCUUAUGGGCUUUAUUCCAUUAGGAGGCAUGACCAAGGUCCAAACCUUGUUCACUCGCGUCGAGUUUCAUCUCGAGUUUCAUGGCCUCUUGUUGUCUCUUUUAAGUCAACACUUGACUUUAUUUUGUUGCAACUAGCAGGUUCAUUAUCCUGGAUCACUGAUUAAUGAUUCGCACCUUCUUGAAGGUCGAAUGAGCCUACUAGAUUCACAUAGAGCUGUCAUGUCCUCAGGAGUCUUUACUUCCUGAUCCAAAGUAUGUCCCAUAUCAGAUAUGGGAUCAAACUCAGAUUUAUCUACUUGGUUAACUAUAUCUGUGGACUUUUGAACUCUUUCAAAAUUCUAUUUUACUCCCACUGUCCUCUCCUAGAGUAAAUAUUUUCUCUAAGAAGGCGAUAUGUCGUGAGACGAAGACUUUCUUCAUGAUAAUAGAAUUUAUAUUCAAUUGUCUCCUUUGAAUAUCUCACAAAUAUAUAUUUAUCGGAUUUAGUCUCAAACUUAUCCGAUUUAAGGCGCUUCAAAUAAGCGUCAUGGCCCCAAUCUUUCAUAUAAGAUAAAUUAGGACUAUUGUCUUUCCAUAACUCGUAUGGAGUUCUGUUAACCAAUUUAGAAAGGACAUGGUUUAGUGUGUUGCACACUGCAAUCAAUGCGUGACCUCAAAACAUUUUUGAGAAAUUUACAUGGCUUGUUAUUAAUCGCAUUAUAUGCAAUAAUUAACGAUUUCUCCUUUUAGAUACACCGCCUUGCUGCAGUGC
This 1867-nucleotide long non-coding RNA is filed under the name Olea europaea subsp. europaea. Lineage: Eukaryota; Viridiplantae; Streptophyta; Magnoliopsida; Lamiales; Oleaceae. The record is from RNAcentral.